Molecule: long non-coding RNA, 211 nt
Filed under: Gossypium raimondii (Peruvian cotton)
Lineage: Eukaryota; Viridiplantae; Streptophyta; Magnoliopsida; Malvales; Malvaceae
Description: long non-coding RNA (GRAI_LNC005031)
Source: RNAcentral
CUGAAAUUAAGAUUUUAUGUUAUAAGUACCUUUUGAAACACAAAAUAUAUCUAAAUUAAAAUUGAAUUCCCGGCCGGUCGACCAGCAUGGCGGAGCUUUCCAGAGAGGUUGGGGGGGUGAUUUGAGGAAUGGUAUAUAGCCUUUUUAUUUGAGCACAAUAUUGGGUGGGGUACCACUACGACUAGGGCGGCUCGUGACAAUAAUUUAAUUU